AACGAACGCUGGCGGCAUGCCUAACACAUGCAAGUCGAACGAGAUCUUCGGGUCUAGUGGCGCACGGGUGCGUAACGCGUGGGAAUCUGCUCUUUGGUUCGGAAUAACAGUUGGAAACGCCUGCUAAUCCCGGAUGAUGACGAAAGUCCAGAGAGUUAUCGCCAGAGGAUGAGCCCGCGUAGGAUUAGCUAGUUGGUGUGGUAAAGGCGCACCAAGGCGACGAUCCUUCGCUGGUCUGAGAGGAUGAUCAGCCACACUGGGACUGAGACACAGCCCAGACUCCUACGGGAGGCAGCAGUGGGGAAUAUUGGACAAUGGGCGAAAGCCUGAUCCAGCAAUGCCGCGUGAGUGAUGAAGGCCUUAGGGUUGUAAAGCUCUUUUACCCGGGAUGAUAAUGACAGUACCGGGAGAAUAAGCUCCGGCUAACUCCGUGCCAGCAGCCGCCGUAA
RNAcentral lists this ribosomal RNA (449 nucleotides) under uncultured bacterium. Its description in RNAcentral is "partial 16S ribosomal RNA". It matches the Rfam family "Bacterial small subunit ribosomal RNA", at positions 29 to 523 of the family's 1533-position model. The record is from RNAcentral.